CCUACGGGAGGCAGCAGUGAGGAAUAUUGGUCAAUGGACGAGAGUCUGAACCAGCCAAGUAGCGUGAAGGAUGACUGCCCUAUGGGUUGUAAACUUCUUUUAUAUGGGAAUAAAAUGUUCCACGUGUGGGAUUUUGUAUGUACCAUAUGAAUAAGGAUCGGCUAACUCCGUGCCAGCAGCAGCGGUAAUACGGAGGAUACGAGCGUUAUCCGGAUUUAUUGGGGUUAAAGGGAGCGUAGGUGGAUUGUUAAGUCAGUUGUGAAAGUUUGCGGCUCAACCGUAAAAUUGCAGUUGAAACUGGCAGUCUUGAGUACAGUAGAGGUGGGCGGAAUUCGUGGUGUAGCGGUGAAAUGCUUAGAUAUCACGAAGAACUCCGAUUGCGAAGGCAGUUCACUGGACUGCAACUGACACUGAGGCUCGAAAGUGUGUGUAUCAAACAGGAGUAGAUACCCGGGUAGUC
RNAcentral lists this ribosomal RNA (460 nucleotides) under uncultured bacterium. RNAcentral describes it as "partial 16S ribosomal RNA". It matches the Rfam family "Bacterial small subunit ribosomal RNA", at positions 338 to 795 of the family's 1533-position model. The record is from RNAcentral.